Molecule: long non-coding RNA, 1933 nt
Filed under: Monodelphis domestica (gray short-tailed opossum)
Lineage: Eukaryota; Metazoa; Chordata; Mammalia; Didelphimorphia; Didelphidae
Description: lncRNA (ENSMODG00000033543.2)
Source: RNAcentral
GCUGGAGAGUGAUGAACACCAUCGAGGGAGAGGCCAGGCAUGCCCUGGGGUCACACUAAUUUUCGGGUCCAGGGGUCAGAACCGGAAGGGUUUUCCCAUGAUCACCAUCAGAAGCGCCCUGCUGUGCAAGUUGCCAGUCAUGGAAAAAGAAGUCCACUGGGGCUGUUUCUAAAGCUGCCGCUGGAACCCAAACUAUCUCCAUCGCAGCCAGUCCAGAGGAAAUCUACUUAUCUCCCAAGAACUCAAGAGCAGAAAACACUCCAGGGCCCAGGGGGCUUGUCUUCUGAUGGAGACUUGCGCCUCAACUGGGUCAUGAAGCCCAGGCCUGUGAUCCCAACAGGGCAAGGAUCUAAGGGAAAACCACCGGGCUUCCACUUGCCUACCUUCCCACAGCAGGUCCAGCAGAAGCAGGAGAGGCUGAAGUCCAAGGUGUUUCCAUUCUGGGAACAUGCUAACAGUGUCCAGAGUGGAAAAACGGGCCCUGCAGUCCCCAAGACAGAGACCCGGGCCACUAAUGAGAGAGAAAAUUCCCAGUGGAGCACAGGCUGGGGAACAAAGAACUUCUCAAGCCCAGGCCUGGGAGAGUUACACCCCACCAAGCCCAAAAUCUCAUGGGAACCAAAAGAGGCCAAUAGUACUUCUCAUCUACAACACUCAUCCUCACUUCCCUUCCUAAGAGGCAGUACUUCUGGCACCGGCCGUGACUCACCCUGCUAUUGUUCCAUUUGCUUUCCUUCUCCAGUUUUUGGGAAUCUUGUGAAGGUUGUGCCAAUGAAGAAGACCCCAGUGAAUACCCCAACUGCCAAUCAGAAUACAUCCACUAUGGCCAAGAAUUCCCAAGUGCUAAAGAAUAAUAAUAAGCAAACUGUGAAGCUUAAAUCAGCUCUUAUUACCAGCUGCUCAGAUGGUACACCAGGGUCCCAGAGACGGUUCCAUCCAUUUCGGGUUCGCUUUGAAGAUGAAAGUCCCAAGGAUAUGGCACUCCGAUACUGGGAGAGGAACUAUGAGGUUCAGAAAAGCCUUCACAAGAGCACAGUCGCAUGUCAGUCCCCAGAACAGAUGCCAGGAAAACCAGGAAUAUGGAUGGAUGGAGUUUCAAGGAGUGGACCUCAGCAGACAAACUUGUGGCAAGAUGAAUCCCUUUGUGAUACCAGAAGGAACAUCUUACCCACGUCAUUCCAGGGCUUGUCUGCUGAUAACCUAAAGAAGACGACCAAUUACAGCGCUGUGUUUUCUAGUCCACUGGCCACCGUCGACUUCUCUGACACCAAGCCGUUCCAGGACCUGAUCACGGAUCACCCGAAGAAGAGUUCCACCUGCAGCAAUCCCUACUCCAGCCCCCUGAGCAGCAUUGAUUUCUCUGGUACCAGCCCCAUCCAGGACCUGCCUGCCGAUACUAUGAAGAAGAAUCCCACCUACAGUGCCGUGUGCACGUCUAGUCCAUUGGCUGGUCUUGACUUCCCUGAUACCAAGCCCUUGAAGGAUCUGUCUAGCGAUCUCUCUACACACACCUCCUUGUUCUCCAGCCCAGCAACCACCAUUGACAGGUCAAAAAGCCGAUCCUUCAAUAAUAGGACCACUCCUGCGAGAGAAAACUCUCCUUCUUUGUGGGUUCCCAGAAUGGACUCCUAUGGACCUCACUGGAAGUUGUCAAACAGCUGGAGGGGAGGACAACCAACAGUUUACCCAAUCUUCCCUUCACUUACCCAGAUCCGGGCUCAAAGGUCUGAAAGUCCCAAGCACAACAGCCCUGAGCCUCCCAAACAGACAAUUAGCCCAAGUGGCUCCUGAACAACAAGGCAACAUGGUAAUAUGGUAAUAAUCCCAGGGGCAUAGGGGCAGAGGACAAAUUCAGCAACAACCUCUGCCCCUUUCCAGCCCCUGCGACACUUCCCUCUCUCCCCAAAAAUAAAGUUACCUAAAAGCAGAUACA